GACGAACGCUGGCGGCGUGCUUAACACAUGCAAGUCGAACGGUAAGGCCCCAUCUUGCUGUGUUUCACGUGUCGCGAACGUGUGUGUAACACGUGCGUGCCCUCCCCUUCACUUCGUGAUACGCCUGGGACACUGGGUCUAAUACCGUAUAUGACCAUUUUCUCGUUACUGUGUUGUAAAGUUUUUUCGGUUGGGGAUGGGCCCGCGGCCUUUGAGCUUGUUGGUGGGGUAAUGGCCUACCAAGGACGGGAAGGGUAGCCGGCAUGAGAGGGUGAACGGCCAAAUUGGGACUGAGACACGGCCCAGACUCCUACGGGAGGCAGCAGUGGGGAAUAGUGCACAAUGGGCGGAAGCCUGAUGCAGCGACGCCGCGUGGGGGAUGAAGGCCUUCGGGUUGUAAACUGCUUUCACCAGGGACGAAGGGAAAGUGACGGUAGAUGGAGAAGAAGCACCGGCUAACUACGUG
RNAcentral lists this ribosomal RNA (466 nucleotides) under uncultured bacterium. Its description in RNAcentral is "partial 16S ribosomal RNA". It matches the Rfam family "Bacterial small subunit ribosomal RNA", at positions 28 to 507 of the family's 1533-position model. The record is from RNAcentral.